Molecule: long non-coding RNA, 3206 nt
Organism: Melozone crissalis (California towhee)
Lineage: Eukaryota; Metazoa; Chordata; Aves; Passeriformes; Passerellidae
Exons: 3
Source: RefSeq, a predicted model, not a curated record
GAGCGCGGCCGGGGGGAGCGCGAAAUGGCGGAUGCGCGGGCGGGCGGCGCGCACACGAACGCGCGUGUUCGCGUCCCUCUGUCCGCCCGCGGCCGGUCCGUCUGUCCCUCAGUGCACGGGGUACGGAGAUGAGCGACCGGCACCGGUUCCCGCCGGGGCAACAAAGCCUGCCCCCUGUUCCGUGCCCCGACCCGCCCGCCGCCCCCGGCCCCGCUCACUCGUCAGGGAACAGAAGUGGAAACUCGGAGAGAAACCUGUGGACUGCUAGUAAAUGAGAUGGAGGCAAGAGCUGAUGAAAGCUUUGAGGUCUUCUCCUCAGGGAGAAGCAGUGUGUCCUUCAGAGUCAUUUGUAGGUGUGGAGGAAAGUGUUGGUCUUCCAUUACAGCAGAAGGAGCUACAGCCCAAGGAGACACCUGGGUGUCAGGAAGAGGACUCAAACUCAGGAACAUUUGGGAGUCAUUUAAGAUAGGAAGACAAAAUCCACUUGAGUUUAAUUCCCUGUGCUUGUUUGUGUAUGUCUAGUUGCUUGGCUGUGAGUGGUGCAUAAAUCACCUGAGACUCUCCAUUCCUCUGUAAUUUACUGUUGGAAAGGACAGAAAUAAAUUCUAACAUAUUUGUGCGACACACCAGAAUUACUCCAAACUUAGAAGAAUUUUGGAGCAAAGUUAAAGGCUUCAAGCCUAAAUUGCACACUGCUAAUUAUCUCCUUAUAUUUUAUGUCAUCAUGGAUUAAAAUGAAAUGCUGCUGUGAAGGUGCCCCAUCAAACAGAACAUGGUUCUAGUUGUUUGCCUUGUGUGGCCUGAGUAAAAGUGCAUUUCCGCCCUAGGAAAAUCCUUUAUGCCCUGAUUUCCAAGUUCAAAAAUAACUCUCUACAGAUGAAACAUGUUUCUCACCCUUUAAAGUAGUGUUUUCACCUACAAAUACUUGCUGCCUAAACAAGAGCUCUUUCCUUUGCACUUGUGCCAACAUGCAACUUGGAUAAAGAACUAAACUUAGAUUCAUAGUUAUAAUGCUUCCACUGACUUUUUUGGUUUUGUUUUUUAAUAAUGACUCUAAGACAUGUGCCAUCUCUCUCCUGAAUUUUAAUCUUUCUAAUGAAGGUGUGUUUGAAGAAGGCACACCCUUCAGAAGAUGUUUUGUGGUAUCGUCUUUGAGCCUUUAGUGUUGAGGACCAGCUGCAUUUUCAAUUUUAAAUGCACUUUUCAGGGUCUUACAUCACAGAGGCCUAAAUUAAAACACACUUACCAUAAAGAGGUGCAGCACAUGCAUUCAUCCUGGAAAUUGCACUGCGACAUGAAAGAUAUCCAAACCCUACUUGUAAUUUUGAAGAUGAGCAAGCCUUGGCCUUUCAGAUGUCCCACGUGAGGGAAGCGCACCCACGUCCCGCAAAAUCGUAAGCUUCUGAAUCAUGGAAGCUGGAUCUUAAAGCCUCUAAUUCCCACUGAAUUAGAGAUGUUUGACAAUGUGUGUGGCUGUGAAAAUUAAUCCCAGUGCUGGACUGGGGGUGGCCGACUGCCUGGUGGAUGUGAGCCGACACAGGAACCCCUGUGGUCCAACACUCAGGGUGACCCAGGGAGAUGCAGAACUCAGUGAUGGGCAGCUCUCACUUUGUGCCUCCCAGAUCAUCCUCCACAUGCUAUUCAGGAUCAGGGAUCAGGAUCUGGUGGCUCCCCAUGGCAUGAAAAUUUUCUUUAGUGGUUUGUAGGCUGAAAAAGGCUGGUCAUGCCUUCUGUAAAGAAUUAUCUGAUUAGCUCUAGAUGUCUUUCUCCUAAUUAAGGUUAUUGGAGAAAAUGUUUCUUCUCUAGUAUGGUGGUAAACACCAGGAGUGAGAGCACUGCACCUUUAUUUUGGACAUAUAUACCAUGAUGAGAGCAGCAGCUGGUCUUUAACUUCACUCCCUGCAGCUAUGGAAACCUUGCCACAGGUUGUGCACCCUGCAGAAACAGAGACCUCCUUUCGGGGUUCAUGGGUUUAAUGCCAAAUUCUCUCUCCAUAUACAUGGCUCCCAGGAACCAAACAGUAGCUUCAGAGAGCCAUCAGCUUCACUAGCCUGCAGGUAUACAGAGGGAACCCCCAAACUUCAGUCUAAGACUUCCCUUCCUGCCUCUAUUUAAUGUCAGUUUCACUUGCAGCUGUUCCAGGGAAAGGUUUUUUUGCAACCUCUUUCAAGUAUCAGAUACUGGCAAUCCCUCUCCUGGAGUGCCGUGGUUGGAGAGUAUCCUGGGCUCACUUGGGAGGGCAAGGCUCUCCCAUAUCUAAACAUUGCAGUAAAUGUUACUCAGCCUCCUGUAGGGUUACUGGGCUUGACACAAAUGUCCUAGCCAAGCUCACAAGGAAGAGGAAAUAUGGGAAUAUACGCCACCAGAAGACACUGUCUCCCUUGACGUUUUUGCCUGUAAAACAAUAGCUUACAGAACAUUUUUAACUGAAAGGUGUUGUUGGCCUCUUUCCUUUUCAUUUUUUGACUUUUGUUUCCUGUAGGAGGGUCUCUGAAUUCCUUAAUGUUGUCAUCGAGUCCUAGGGAUUUUUUUUCCCCUCUUUUAGCUGUGCUACAUCUCCCAGGUUGCCAGCAAUGCAAAAUUGCUGAUGGAAGACAUUUCUGUUUAAACUGGAAGCCAUGAAUACAAGAGCUUCUCCUCCCAAAGGAAAUGUUGUUUUUACUUCCAUGUCCCCAGUCUUACAUCUUUGCUUUGUACUCAGGUAUUUUCACUUGAGACUUCCCAGUUUCCUAGAAAUUCUGAUUUACUCUCUUGCUGAGUCUGUGGAACAAGAUACUAAAUCUAUCUUGCUUGGAAAAAACAAUUAAAGAAAGAACAAUAAAACCCUAAUUGAAACAUUUUGCUGAAAAAUGUCACAGCAUAGUGAUUUUUGAAACAAAAGCCAAAUAAAUACUUUUUGCUUUUCUAAAUUAGGAAAAGAAAUGCACGUGUAUACCCAUUCAGUUGGAGUGGAAUUGGAAAAUCUUUGUUUCAUAUGCAGUGCCAGCUUCAGGAAAAGGACAGUCUGGCUUUGUCUUCUUAUGUGUAUUUGUGGGUCUUUGUUAUCAAUAUUUAGCAGUCAGUCUUGGGAAGUUUUACUGUGAUGUUAAGGAGAAGGCUGCAAUUCCAGGCACUAAGGUGCUAAGGUGGCUCCUUUGGAAAGCCUGAAAUGUGGCUGCCUGCUCUUAGGAACUUCUCUAAAGCCACAGGGACUCUGCACAACACUU